RNAcentral lists this ribosomal RNA (477 nucleotides) under uncultured bacterium. Its description in RNAcentral is "bacterial SSU rRNA". It matches the Rfam family "Bacterial small subunit ribosomal RNA", at positions 28 to 517 of the family's 1533-position model. The record is from RNAcentral.
GACGAACGCUGGCGGCGUGCUUAACACAUGCAAGUCGAACGGUAAGGCCCUUCGGGGUACGACGAGUGGCGAACGGGUGAGUAACACGUGGGUGAUCUGCCCUGCACUUCGGGAUAAGCCUGGGAAACUGGGUCUAAUACCGGAUAGGACCAUCGACUUCACGGUUUGUGGUGGAAAGCUUUUGCGGUGUGGGAUGGGCCCGCGGCCUAUCAGCUUGUUGGUGGGGUAAUGGCCUACCAAGGCGACGACGGGUAGCCGGCCUGAGAGGGUGUCCGGCCACACUGGGACUGAGAUACGGCCCAGACUCCUACGGGAGGCAGCAGUGGGGAAUAUUGCACAAUGGGCGCAAGCCUGAUGCAGCGACGCCGCGUGAGGGAUGACGGCCUUCGGGUUGUAAACCUCUUUCUAAUAGGGACGAAGCGCAAGUGACGGUACCUAUAGAGGAAGCACCCGGCCGAACCUACGUGCCAGCAGCCG